UCCCAAAGUCAUGGUUAAGUGGGAAACGAUGUGGGAAGGCCCAGACAGCCAGGAUGUUGGCUUAGAAGCAGCCAUCAUUUAAAGAAAGCGUAAUAGCUCACUGGUCGAGUCGGCCUGCGCGGAAGAUGUAACGGGGCUAAACCAUGCACCGAAGCUGCGGCAGCGACGCUUAUGCGUUGUUGGGUAGGGGAGCGUUCUGUAAGCCUGUGAAGGUGUGCUGUGAGGUAUGCUGGAGGUAUCAGAAGUGCGAAUGCUGACAUAAGUAACGAUAAAGCGGGUGAAAAGCCCGCUCGCCGGAAGACCAAGGGUUCCUGUCCAACGUUAAUCGGGGCAGGGUGAGUCGACCCCUAAGGCGAGGCCGAAAGGCGUAGUCGAUGGGAAACAGGUUAAUAUUCCUGUACUUGGUGUUACUGCGAAGGGGGGACGGAGAAGGCUAUGUUGGCCGGGCGACGGUUGUCCCGGUUUAAGCGUGUAGGCUGGUUUUCCAGGCAAAUCCGGAAAAUCAAGGCCGAGGCGUGAUGACGAGGCACUACGGUGCUGAAGCAACAAAUGCCCUGCUUCCAGGAAAAGCCUCUAAGCAUCAGGUAACAUCAAAUCGUACCCCAAACCGACACAGGUGGUCAGGUAGAGAAUACCAAGGCGCUUGAGAGAACUCGGGUGAAGGAACUAGGCAAAAUGGUGCCGUAACUUCGGGAGAAGGCACGCUGAUACGUAGGUGAAGCGACUUGCUCGUGGAGCUGAAAUCAGUCGAAGAUACCAGCUGGCUGCAACUGUUUAUUAAAAACACAGCACUGUGCAAACACGAAAGUGGACGUAUACGGUGUGACGCCUGCCCGGUGCCGGAAGGUUAAUUGAUGGGGUUAGCGCAAGCGAAGCUCUUGAUCGAAGCCCCGGUAAACGGCGGCCGUAACUAUAACGGUCCUAAGGUAGCGAAAUUCCUUGUCGGGUAAGUUCCGACCUGCACGAAUGGCGUAAUGAUGGCCAGGCUGUCUCCACCCGAGACUCAGUGAAAUUGAACUCGCUGUGAAGAUGCAGUGUACCCGCGGCAAGACGGAAAGACCCCGUGAACCUUUACUAUAGCUUGACACUGAACAUUGAGCCUUGAUGUGUAGGAUAGGUGGGAGGCUUUGAAGUGUGGACGCCAGUCUGCAUGGAGCCGACCUUGAAAUACCACCCUUUAAUGUUUGAUGUUCUAACGUGGACCCGUGAUCCGGGUUGCGGACAGUGUCUGGUGGGUAGUUUGACUGGGGCGGUCUCCUCCUAAAGAGUAACGGAGGAGCACGAAGGUUGGCUAAUCCUGGUCGGACAUCAGGAGGUUAGUGCAAUGGCAUAAGCCAGCUUGACUGCGAGCGUGACGGCGCGAGCAGGUGCGAAAGCAGGUCAUAGUGAUCCGGUGGUUCUGAAUGGAAGGGCCAUCGCUCAACGGAUAAAAGGUACUCCGGGGAUAACAGGCUGAUACCGCCCAAGAGUUCAUAUCGACGGCGGUGUUUGGCACCUCGAUGUCGGCUCAUCACAUCCUGGGGCUGAAGUAGGUCCCAAGGGUAUGGCUGUUCGCCAUUUAAAGUGGUACGCGAGCUGGGUUUAGAACGUCGUGAGACAGUUCGGUCCCUAUCUGCCGUGGGCGCUGGAGAACUGAGGGGGGCUGCUCCUAGUACGAGAGGACCGGAGUGGACGCAUCACUGGUGUUCGGGUUGUCAUGCCAAUGGCACUGCCCGGUAGCUAAAUGCGGAAGAGAUAAGUGCUGAAAGCAUCUAAGCACGAAACUUGCCCCGAGAUGAGUUCU
Molecule: ribosomal RNA, 1783 nt
Filed under: Shigella flexneri 1997005
Lineage: Bacteria; Pseudomonadati; Pseudomonadota; Gammaproteobacteria; Enterobacterales; Enterobacteriaceae
Description: bacterial LSU rRNA
Rfam family: Bacterial large subunit ribosomal RNA
Source: RNAcentral